GUAACAUCAACUGGAGGACCGAACCGACUAAUGUUGAAAAAUUAGCGGAUGACUUGUGGCUAGGGGUGAAAGGCCAAUCAAACUCGGAGAUAGCUGGUUCUCCCCGAAAGCUAUUUAGGUAGCGCCUCGGACGAAUACUACUGGGGGUAGAGCACUGUUAAGGCUAGGGGGUCAUCCCGACUUACCAACCCUUUGCAAACUCCGAAUACCAGUAAGUACUAUCCGGGAGACACACGGCGGGUGCUAACGUCCGUCGUGGAGAGGGAAACAACCCAGACCGCCAGCUAAGGUCCCAAAGUAUUGCUAAGUGGGAAACGAUGUGGGAAGGCUCAGACAGCUAGGAUGUUGGCUUAGAAGCAGCCAUCAUUUAAAGAAAGCGUAAUAGCUCACUAGUCGAGUCGGCCUGCGCGGAAGAUGUAACGGGGCUAAGCA
Molecule: ribosomal RNA, 432 nt
Filed under: Vibrio cholerae
Lineage: Bacteria; Pseudomonadati; Pseudomonadota; Gammaproteobacteria; Vibrionales; Vibrionaceae
Description: partial 23S ribosomal RNA
Rfam family: Bacterial large subunit ribosomal RNA
Source: RNAcentral